Gadus morhua (Atlantic cod) is the source of this 4804-nucleotide long non-coding RNA. Lineage: Eukaryota; Metazoa; Chordata; Actinopteri; Gadiformes; Gadidae. The record is from Ensembl.
AUGAUGGGCUUCGUUUGCCUUUUCUUUGUUCUUUCUUUGACAAUAUCCACCGUUGGGGGAUUAAGUUGCUACUCGUGUACGGCCAAACCUUCCAAGGAAUGCAUUGAGACAGUUGAUUGUGCAAGCGACAUGUAUCGCUGUUUCAGCAUGAAAACAGGUGAUAUUGCCACAAAGGGGUGUUUUCCGAGUGCUGCGUGCCUCGAAGGAGCGACCGAAGAUUGCUGCAUUGGCAAUUUGUGUAACAAUGCAAAGAACAUCGGAUCAAGUUUCAUCCUCCUGCUGUUGUCUACCGCUGCACUGUAUUUCCUCUGAUCAAUGGGUUUGCGUGCACUCUAGAAACCUGGGGCCAGAUUUACAAAGGAGUCUCAAAGUAAUGAAAUCCUGUGCAUUAUCUGGAGAAUAUGCUAUAUACUAGAAUAUUCAUACAGAAGGUUCUUUACUGCAAUUCCUCAAUAACUUCCUCUUCCUCUCAUUACACUUAAGAAAUGUUUUUCAAGUCUUUCCAACUUUUAUAAUUUGGGCAUCUGUGAAGAUGCGUGUAAAUCAAUAGCUUGUAAUCUCUAAAGUGAAAAGGUAAAAUCCUAACAAUUGAUAAACUAAUUUGUAGUUAAGCAUAGCGUUUAGCAGCUUAGACCUAUGUCUUUUUCUUUAUUAUAAUAUCAAUACAAUUCGUAGAGUUGUCCUUUGUGUAAUUUUAAAAUGUUCAGAUUAACUUGCCACUAUCAUUCAACACUUCUAAAUAUUUUAAACUGUUUAAGAUAUUCUACUAUAUUAUAUUAAGAUAUUCUACUAUAAAUAUUUUCUUUUACAAAGGAAGUCAAAGGCCCAUUGACUCCCAGUAGCUGACACUUCAACUACUUCAGACUUUGUAACUUCAUUUUUUAACUGUUAACCUUCAUUAAAACAUCUAACAAACACACUUGUAUCUUCAAUCAUAAAGUCUUUCUCUAUCACUUUGCUUUUUUCAGUAUCAGUUUAAUUUCUUACCUGCCUCAUACCCAUCGUUUUUUAUGACUUUACACACUCCAGCUUGGAGUGUGUGCAGUCCAUUAGCAUUUUAAUAGUGAAUAAAGUAUUGGUGAGUUAAAGGUUGGGUAUGGAAUUCGCUUUUUUGGCCAUUUUUGCAAAUUACUUGAAAUCCUUAUCUUAACCCACUUACAGCCACUGAGUUAGAAGUACUGACAUGAAAAUUAAACAAGUCAAUCAUCUGUGGAACGGGCAGGGCUCGAAAAACUCCAGCCAAUGAUUUCCAGAGCCACCGAGUUGCAUUGGACAGUAAGUACGUCAAUCAAACGGUCGCACUGCAAUCCCACUCCCCGCGCGACCCCUUCGUGCACGUACUCAAAGCUCGUGACCCAGAGCAAGCUUCUGUUUGUUGUUAUCCUGCGGUAGCUACUGGAGCUAGCUAACUAGCUAAUGGCUCGCUCUCGCGCAUCUGUGUUUCGCUCGUGCAUGAUUGCGCGUCCAUGUACUUGGAAUGGGUGGAGUCAGAGUCAGCGUUGAAGGAGAGGGGGUAGGACCAUUUGAGUUGUUUAUUUUCAAAAUCUGCUGCCGUUUCGCAAAUCCUAUACCCAACCUUUAACUCAUGAUAGAUACUCAUGAUUUGGGAAUUGUAAUCAGGCAGUCACUUACUGCAAGUGUUAUUCAAAUUAAGAAACCAAAAAACAAGAAAAAAAAAAGAAUGUGCAUUAACGCAUACAUUUUUAUCAAAUUAAACUAAGAUUGCGUUACCGCGUUAUUAUCUAUCAAUCUAUUAUCCUAAUUGUUAUAGAUCAGCCGUUUGUGUGCUGGAACCCCCAUUUAUAUGGUUAGAGACUAAGUGCUUGCUACGUAUCCGGUUUACUCCCGGUAGAAGCUAAAUGCUGGAAAUCUAUCUUUUGAACAGGAACAGGAAUUAUUUGUAUUUCUUUAGUCUGCAGUUCACAGAUAAUCAAUAUAAGUGACCAGUGGGAUAAUUAUCAAACCAAAAGACAUAAAAACAUUGCCUCAGCAUAACAAACACUGUAUUUUGGUUUAUUAAUCAGCUACUUGACAUGUAGCCUUGGGGCUAAGUUUGUGCUAGUGGGGGGUCAGGUUGGGUAUCUGGGCCCUGGGCUCCAGUGAUGUUCAUGAAGGGGGGGUGUACCCGUCAGGGAGUUGAUUGGGCGUCGCCAGCCGCUCGAUGCGAGGGGAGGCUUUAGCCCUCUGUGCUGCCAUGGAAGCCUGGUAGACAACACCAUUCAUUAUACAUAAUACUACAGUAUAUACACAAUACUACAGUAUAUCAAGAUAAUACUGAAGCAUUAUGCAAAGGACUACAGUAUCGAAAGAUAAUACUACAGUACAGCAAUUACACAUAAUACUACAGUAUACCCGGAAAUGUUAAAGAAAUAAUGAUACAUACAUACAGAUAAUCCAGUAAAUUCACAUAGUGCUACAAUAAUUACACACAAGACUACAGUAUAUAUAGUUCAGAACAGACACAUAAUACUAAAAGUAUAACAGAUAAUGCUCUGAGUUGUAUAAUAAAUUAUACUUAUUAAUUUACUGUUAUUACUAAUUAUUCUUGUGACUGUAAGUGAGUAGGUUAUAUAGCCCCUUUAACGCAAAAAAAGUUGCAUAACAUUUAAAAGUGCUUAACAGAAACGCUCCAUAACAACAAAAAGUAUGUUAAAAAAAAAGUAUAGGCCUAUACAUUAAACCAUAACAUAAAAUGAUUAAAAUCAUCAGCCAAAAAUCCUACAGAGCUCUCCCCAAAAAAUGACAUUACAGGUUCUGGGUAAUGAAUGACUGAAUAGAGAUAAGUAACAUUCAAACCAAGUCUCUUGCAGUCCGGAUGGGCUCCUCGGGUGGGCUUGGCUGGUAGCAGACCUGGCUGAGGCUCAGCCUGGGCAGAGACAGGUGCUCCAGUCUGGGGGACUUGGACUGUGCUCUGGAGGUCUCAGAGAUCCCCUUCUCCAAGACCUGGUGGACAAGGGUCCACCAGCCCCUCAAUGCUUUAUGCAUUGAGGGCCAUCAAUGCAAAACAGUUUGUUUGGAGAAUAAAAUAUGGGGUGGAAAGGAGAAAAUUAAAUUGUCACCCUAAAAACAAAUAUUUGAAACCUUUAAAAAACUUUCAACUGAGAUAUAAUUAAGUGCUCCCUUUCUUCACUCACUCCUUACUUUGUCCAAUAACUAGUUGAUUGUAAUCUAACUGUGAUCUAAUUUACAGGUGGUUUUAUGUAACCCUAUCUGUCUACUAGGGUCCAAACCUGUGUACUUGGGCCCUUACCUGUGCUCUAUGGCCACUACUUGUGUUAGAGAGCCCUGCCUGUGUUAUAGGGGCCUACCUGUGUCCUAGGGCCCCUGCCAGUCUGCUAGGGCCCCUACUUGUGUUCUACGGCAUGUAUUUCAGUGCCCCUACCUGUGGUCUAGGUGCUUACCUGUGCGUUCGGGGCCCCCACCUGCCUCUUGUUCUGGAAGUGAGGGUGGGUGGUCUUGGGCCUGGAGAGUUCCAGGAGAUGAUGGGAGAGUUUGGGUUUUUUGAUCCGGAGGUCCACGUGCCACACGAGACAGGUGGGCUCACAUUCCGGGGCAGGCCCGAGGCUCCCUAUACGCAGAGUACGCAGAGUGCGUAGGGCACCAAGUACCUGAGGGGGGCACCAAAAAUUUAGUUUUGUAAAAAAUAAUAAUAAUACAAAAAAAAAAAAGUAAAUUAGUUAUGAAGAUGCCCACCGUUGUUUGUUCUUAAUUGUAUAACCUAUCACUAGGUGUUAGGUUAUACUAAUAUAGAAAACAUUUAAAGCGUCUCUGGAUUCUGAUCCAGGGCUUGACACGGUGCCUAUAUGUUUUUACCUAAUAUAGAAAAAGGGGCUCUCCUCUCCUCUUCCCCCACAAUUUUAUUUAUACCUUAAACCAAUUGGACAGACGUAUUAUUCUAUCUUUUGCAGCACAACAAGCAGUACGAUUCUCGUCUCUGUGGGAUUUUAGUGUAAAAUAAACAUGUUUGUUCUAAUUGUAUAAGCAUUUAUCAGUAGCUGAAAUACUGUUGCCAUCAAAACGUCAAUUUUGCAGUUUUCAGAUUUGUAUUUCAGGUAUGGGUACAUAAGUGAUGUCCAGACAUCUCCACAUGCUGUUCGGCAGGCACGGUUGCAUUUAGCUACUGCCCUGCUUCAGGGUAAAGGUCAGUGCCAUCAAAAUAGUUUGUGAGUCAAAAUCCAUGCAAAUUCCAGGACCUCAGUCACGUUAGGUGAUCAGUUUGUGUGGGAUUUGUACUAUUAAGCAACUAUUUACCACGCUUUUAUUUUUGUAAAGUUAUUUAAGCAUUCUUACAGAAAAUAUCUAAUGGUUUUAGUGUCCAUACAGCAUAAACAAUUGGGAGUUAUUUGCUACACAUGAAGUAUACGAUAUGUGUGUGUGUGAAUACUUUUGUAAAAUUGAAUGACUGGAGAUGCCUUAGUUUAAAACCAUUGUUUCAGGAAUGCAGAGGACCACUGUGUGGUGUGCUCAUUGACUGAAUAAGAUGCAGAUGAAAGCAUGAUUGAUGAUGAGAAAUGGUACAUAACAUUAAAUGUGUUUUGUAUUAUUAAUUCACUCAAAAAUGUGUGCAUAACCCUACAAUGUAUUUCAUUGUAGGUUUUAGGUGCGGUUGGAAUUGUGCAUAGGUGGGAAAAUUUUGAGCGCUCUAUAUUUCUGCACAAAAUGUCCCAAAAGGAAAUAAAGAUUUAAGAAAUGUAGUUGUUAUUAUUUUAUCUCUUGAAUAAUUAUUAUCUAUUGCAUAUAGCCUAUGUAUACACACAUCCAUACAGAAUCCCUGCUGGUAUCUCCGCCUGCAGGUUGCAUCCCG